This 70-nucleotide transfer RNA is filed under the name Epiperipatus biolleyi. RNAcentral describes it as "tRNA-Leu". The record is from RNAcentral. Lineage: Eukaryota; Metazoa; Onychophora; Udeonychophora; Euonychophora; Peripatidae.
AACCAAAUGACAGAAAAAUGUAACGAAUUUAAGUUUCGUAGAUAUUAUAAUUACAUUCAUCUUUUACUUA